RNAcentral lists this ribosomal RNA (253 nucleotides) under uncultured bacterium. RNAcentral's name for it is "partial 16S ribosomal RNA". It matches the Rfam family "Bacterial small subunit ribosomal RNA", at positions 524 to 776 of the family's 1533-position model. The record is from RNAcentral.
GACGAACCGAGCGAACGUUAUUCGGAAUCACUGGGCUUAAAGGGCGCGUAGGCGGGCCGUCAAGUCGAGGGUGAAAGCCCCCAGCUCAACUGGGGAAGUGCCUCCGAUACUGGCGGUCUCGAGGGGGAUAGGGGCGUGCGGAACUUCCGGUGGAGCGGUGAAAUGCGUAGAUAUCGGAAGGAACACCGGUGGCGAAAGCGGCGCGCUGGAUCCCUUCUGACGCUGAGGCGCGAAAGCCAGGGGAGCGAACGGG